RNAcentral lists this ribosomal RNA (253 nucleotides) under uncultured bacterium. Its description in RNAcentral is "partial 16S ribosomal RNA". It matches the Rfam family "Bacterial small subunit ribosomal RNA", at positions 524 to 776 of the family's 1533-position model. The record is from RNAcentral.
UACAGAGGUGGCAAGCGUUGUUCGGAUUCAUUGGGCGUAAAGGGUGCGUAGGCGGUGAGGUAAGUCGGAUGUGAAAUCCCAAGGCUUAACCUUGGAAGUGCAUCCGAAACUACCUCGCUUGAGGACUGGAAGGGAGACUGGAAUUCUCGGUGUAGCGGUGAAAUGCGUAGAUAUCGAGAGGAACACCUGUGGCGAAGGCGGGUCUCUGGACAGUUCCUGACGCUGAGGCACGAAAGCCAGGGGAGCAAACGGG